UCCUUAAAAGAAGAAAAAGUUAACAUUUUAUAUGGCAGAUUUCUCAGCAGUCAGAGAUUGGGCUAAGAUGCAGGAGUCCUCCUAAUCUAACUGAAACUGAAACCAUGAGUGUCUGGAUGAGGGCAAUGACAGUAAAAGUUAGAAGUACAUGAGCUCUCCAGAGAAAGUACUGAGGAAUAGCUGCCAAAUUUGCUGGAGGGUAUGUGGGGGAUGGGUGAGGUUUUGUGUUUAAAAGGUGUUCUUGCCAGAUGUAAGGCUGUAUUAUUCAAACAUCAAAAAUUUACCUCAAUUUACUCUUUUAGGCACAGAGGCAGGAUUACAUGGAGCAAGACCCUACAUAAAGACAUCUGUUUUCAGGGCUGGGGUUGUGGCUCAGUGGUGGAGCACUUGCCUCACAUGUGUGAGCACUGGGUUUGAUCCUCAGCACCACAUAAAAAUAAAUAAAUAAAAUAAAGAUAUUGUGUCCCUUUACGAUUAAAAAUAUAUUUUAAAAAAGACAUCUGUUUUCAUUCUUGACACUAAAAACAUUCAUUCCAAAAACUGAGCAUGAGCUAUAAGAUCUGAUUAGCUACCCACACAGAGAGUAAUAGAGUACAGAUGAUUGAAAAUAAGAUUCAAGAAUCUAAAUUAUGUAAGUUUAACUAGAGAAUACAACCUACAAUUCUAGCCUACACACAUAUUCUAUAGCGUGUUUUACUUAGGCUGAUAUUAAAAUAAGUUUGUAUUCUCUCAGUAUGAGCCACUUAGUGGCUUGGGAAUUUUCUCUGGAAGAAAAUUAAAGGAAAGUAAGAUUAAACAACAAUUUUUGCAGAAGAAUAGCAUAUAUGCAAAUAAUUAAGAAAUGCUAUAUGAGAUGAGUCAUCUGAGGGCUUAAGGUGAAUCUGUCUGGUUAUUAUCUCAGUUGUCACCUGUUUUCACCAACAAAUUCCUGGCUGAACUGGAGAAAAAACACAGAACAAGUGAUGUCCCAAAACAAAAAGGUCAUAUUUCUUUGUUUCCAUUGCUAAAUUCCCCCAGAGUAUCUGGAGUGAGCUGGUUUUUAGCUGCUUGCUUGAUCCUCAAUUCUUCUUAUAACACCUGAAGGCAUUGACCUUUAGGUCAUUCAAGUUCAUGUUGUAGAAGGAUAGAGAGAACUAUUUUGAAGUGAGGAUCAGAUGGCAAAAGAGCAGGAAAACUUUGGGGGAAAGCAGACCAACUAGACUGUCUAACUAUAUAGAAAUGGUACACUUUUCAAUAGUUGGUGAGUUUGUUCUUCUAUUCACUGUGCUGCUUUUUUCCCCUUCCUCAUCUGAAAAUGUUAAUUUUGAUCCUUUUGAUUGCUAAAGUCAGCAUAACUUUUCAUUGGGUUGUACAGGACAGAUUUUACAGUACCUAAAGUGAUACCAUUACAGCAAACUUAUUUGCAUUUACGGACAAAAUAGCUUGUUUUGUGGCUGAGAGCAUAAUGGUUUGGGCAAGUGGGAGGAAAGAGAAGAAACCAACUGGGUGUGACAGGUGAGAAGUCCUAGAAACAACAGCAUAAAGAAGUAUUGGUUAGCAAAAGCUGGGUGAAUGCAGGGAGCUGAACCUGAGGCCCAGAUGGUAUGUGGAGACCACCCCCCCCAACCUUCUAAUACACUUUUGUUGUCCUUGCUCUGACAUGUGAGCCUUUCCUGGAAACUUUCAUUAACAUCCCCAGGUGGAACGGUGGGAUCCAUGAAGAGCAUUUUUAAAACCAAAACAAAUAGAAAUCCAAGUGUAUACUCUCUGAAAACAAUUCCUGGAACAAUCAGUGAUAGAUAGGGGUGAAGGAUGAAAAGUAAGAACUUCAUCAAAACAUCUCCCCUUUUCUGUUACCUAUUAAACAUCAGUUGAGUAAAAGGCUUUAGAAGAAUAUAAGCCUUACUUGCAUAUUUUCUGGAAAUGUGUCAAGAAGAGUAAGUAUAUCUCCAUAUAUUAAACUUCACUCAGAAUAGGACACCUGAGUGAAGGAAAUCUUAUUAAGGGAGCUGACCCGCCUAUUGACAUUUAUUUAAUUAUUUUAGAAUAAAAUACACAUUGGCAAGAGCUUUUAGGAAAAAAAUGUAUCUGAUUCCCAUCCCAAGGAAAAGCAAUGGAUUCAAAGCCAAGGAGUAUUCUUGGAUUGAACUUUCAUAGUGCCUUAAUUUAGCCAGCUGGAGAAAUGCUUUUGCAAGUAUAAAAUUAUUUAAGUCUAAGAGAAAGAAAGCUUUUCAUUAUGAUUUUAAAUCUAGAAUUUACUGUAAAGUUGUCUAUUAAUUUGUUAAGGUAAAUUCCAUUUUUCAGUGAUGGUGAAAAUAUUUAUGAAGGCGUUUAUUGUGUAUUAGGGUAGUGAACUUUUCCCUACAUACUUAUCAAAGAGUUUUACUUCUUUAACAAGUAAUGAGAUAUUUUUGACAAAAGUAUGAUUUACAGUGCCUCAGAUCUAUAUAAGUCAUCAGGAACAUAAUUUCGAAACUUAAUAUUGAAUAAGAAAACAAGUAGCAGAAGGACAUGUACAGUGUGUUAUUUUUGGAUACAUAUAUAAGUAUGAAAAUUUUGGAAAAAAAUUAUGUAUAUUAUGAUACUGUUUGCCUGGUAUGGGGGAGUUGCCUGUGUGGGUUGAGAAUAAAGAGAAUUGAGAAAUGAGGUUGGUGCAUAAAAGAAAACUCUGGUCUUUCCUUUUCCCUUCCACUUCACUCUCCCUCCCUCCCUUCCUUCCUUAAAAAGUGCAACUAAAAAUUGCUUGUGAAGUUUUAUUUAAAAUUACAUAUUCCAGGGGAAAAGAUCACUAGAUGAACUACAUGUAUGCAUAUGUGCAAGAAUGUACAUAUCUCAAUGUUCACUGUACUAAAAUAUUAUUAUGACAACUACUGAUCAGUUUCUCUACCAGGUAUCCCUUAGAAGAAAACAGGCAAAGAAAAGAAUGAGAAAACAAAUCUAAUCCAUAUUUCAGUGAUCAGAGAAAGAAUAAGGAUAUGGAAACACUUGGAACAGAGAAUUAAGGGUAAAAGCCCAGGAAGGUGAAGGUGUGGAAAAAGAGAAGAGAGACAACCCAUACCAAGAAGCAACGCCAUGCAAUGUCUUACCAUGGCAGAUGCUGAGCAACCACUUUAGCAUGUGGACUUCUGCAGUGGGCUGUGAUGCAUCACCCCAUGCUCAGCACUGCAUGUAUGGGGGAACCUAAGAACUAACAGGAAACCUUAUAUUGAGAAGAUCAGAAAUAAUCCUGGAUUGCUGAAUUCCCACAGAAGAGACUUGCCCUGGAAAGUCUGCUGACUGACAACUGUUUUAAUACCUGUUCCUUUGUAUGCAACCUCAUUAUUCUCUCUGAAACUUUGAGUCCUCUGCUUAUCUCUUGUAUUUGAAAAUUUUACCAUGAUGUAUAUUGGUGUGUGUGUGUGUGUGUGUGUGUGUGUGUGUGUGUGUGUGUGUUUGUGUGUGUGUGUGUGUGUUGGGCACUCUGGGGGUCUUUUGGAGAAUUACAUCAUUCAUUACCUGUGGUCAAAUUGAAAUUGAAUCCUUGAUAAUUUUUGUUUUUGUAAUUCUUAUAAAUUAGAUGUUAUACAACCUGGAAUUUUCUUCUCUUUUCCCCUAUCGUAGGUUUCUUUUGUCUGGUUAUCCUAGUUUGUGGAAGAAAUUCCAACUUUAUCUUUCACUUCUUCUACUGAACUUAAAAAUUCAAUCCAUUUUACUUUAUGGGUUCU
Long non-coding RNA from Ictidomys tridecemlineatus (thirteen-lined ground squirrel), 3683 nucleotides. RefSeq lists it as uncharacterized. The record is from RefSeq and is a predicted model, not a curated record. Lineage: Eukaryota; Metazoa; Chordata; Mammalia; Rodentia; Sciuridae.